RNAcentral lists this long non-coding RNA (3163 nucleotides) under Homo sapiens (human). RNAcentral describes it as "HSALNT0037828". The record is from RNAcentral. Lineage: Eukaryota; Metazoa; Chordata; Mammalia; Primates; Hominidae.
CUUUUACAGGCCUGGCAGUGCAGGAGGUGUGUUGACGUCAGCACUGCCACAAACACGUGGGUAAUGUGUUGUGCUAUGAUGUUAUGUGCUAUGGCUGGAAGAAGUCCUGGUGAGCCUGGAAGAAGAAUUCUGUUGACGGAUGGACCACUUGAAUUGGCUGCCUGUGAUGGACCCAGAAGACCCACUCACAUAUGGAAAUGAUGUUCUUUUUGCACCAGAGCCUCCUUGUUCCUGAAUACAGUCAUGUGUCACUGUAUUUGCGACAUGUGGAAGAAACAAAGAUCCUCACAACCCAGGCGUCCUCUGGAGAGAUGUCCCAUCUCUGAGGGAUUGUGAAAGGAAACCGGAGAAAGGCAGUCAAGAGACCAAGAAUGAUAGUCUGUGAAGACGUUUUUCAGGGUGAAGGGGAAGUAAAGACUUGGCUGCAGAGGGGAACCCGGGGCCUUCGCAGCCAGGAGGCUGAGGCCUCAGCAAGGCAGAGAGUGCCCACUGGCCUUGUGUCGCCACCAGCUGGGUUCGUGCAUCCACCAGCAGGAGCUUCUCCUGGAAGGGGGGUGGGGAACAUCUUCCACGGAGUUGGGCCAAGGGCACUUUCUCUCUGCCACAGGCUGGAGAGUCAUCUCCUGCUCUCUCAACUGUAAAAACAUGCUGAUGUGGCCAAGGGAAACAAAAUGCCCCUCCCUGCCUGGGAGUUCAAUCCAUGUCCCUUUAACAGCUGGCUGAGAUGGAGAACAGCAUCUCCUUCCAAAUCAAUGACUGUUUUUUUUGGAUCCCCCUUCAGCACCCCAAUCCCAGGACUUGGGGCUUCCCGGUGAAAGCUGCUGAUUUCUGUGACCUCUUGGAUGGAUGCCUUGCGUCCCAAGGGCAAAGAUCACGCUCAGAUCCCUGUCUGGGGCCUCACUUCUUGGCCGCCUGUCUGCCGCUCAUGCUGCUGCCGCCUCCCCAGGGCUUUUUGGAGGAUAAUCUAGAAAGAGGCAGCCUGGUAUGCAUACGGAACGGAAAAAGUAAUGAUUCUGGAACUGGCUGGAUCUAAUUUAAAAUCCUGGCUCUGCAACAUGCUGGCUGGGUGACUGUGGGCAGAGCCUGGCUCCCAUGUGUCAGGCACCCUGUAACUUCUCCAAGAGCCCUGCAGAUUCAGAACAUCAACCCCACUUCCCUGGGUUGGGGGAGGCAGAAGAGCUGCCCGGGCUACGCAGGCCAAGGCAAGACCAAGCUGGAUUUGAGCCCAUGCUGUUCUGACCACAAAGCCACCCUCUGUUGUCCACGUGACACUCCAGUGCCACAGGCUGGGAGUGCCCCAGGAGCACUGGAGUUCCUGUAGGUCCCAUAGCUCUUCCUAUGGGUGGAGGUGAGGGGUGCACAGGAAACUCUUCCUGCCUGGAGAAGGUGCAUGCACACGUGCGUAAGGUAUGCAUUCUACUCAUGGGUGGCACAUUUAUUUAACUAUUCCUUUACAGUCAGACAUGGCGAUCACUUCCAGUUUACUGUUCAUCAGUAAAGCUGUGUAAAAUAUUCAAAAUCCCAAGUCUUUUCUCCAUUCCUACUUCCUUAUGAGACAUACCUGAAAGCCGAGUCACUGUGUCUCUGUAUGAAAAAUGCAGGCCUUAAAUAAAAUACCUGUUGUUAAAUUGCCAUCAAUAAGGGCUCUGGUGGGACUUGUACUCCCCCUGCUCAGAGACUUUUUCCCUGUAGCUGGAGGCUGUUUGUGAGUUAAGGUCAAGGCUAUGUUGUUUUGAUCUUUGGUUAAGACUAACAAAAUACCCAGUGUGUGUAUGUGCGUGUGUAUGGGGGGGAGGGGAGGGCUGCAAAAUCAAUUUCUACCACAAAAGGGCACCCUCAGUGCCCUCUCCACUGUUUUCCCAAUCUAUUGUUUAAAUCCCACGGUGCAUAGGCAAAUGCACAGAGAAUGUAAGGAAAUGAAAAAAAAAAACAAAAAAACAAAACAAAAAAAACAACCAGAGAGGAAAAAGAAAAAAGAAGAAUCUUGCCUGGGAUAGUGAGUAUAUAAGAGGUUUUCUUUUUCUAGUCAAAAUGUUUUUACAGUAAAAAUGGGAGGGGAGGGAAAGGAUAUCCUCAGCCAGACUAUGAACCCAACCCUCUUAGAUGUUAGACACUUGGGAACAGACAGGACCUGUCAAUUAAUUUUUAAGGUAAAAAAUGUGGAGAUCCUUUUGUUCCGCCUGGAAACUGAAGUCCAAGCGUGGUCUGUCUGCCCUCUGGCAAGGCAGGCUGCUGACUUUUCUCUCCAGCUGUGCACCUGUGUGCAGGUGCCUCUCAGGUGUCAUGCAUCGAAGUGAAGUUGCUCUGACCCAGCCUCUGAAGAGGACAGAGGGGCUCUGAUGCUGCUCCAGUGAGCACUCUGUCGGCUGAAGUGCGGGUGCUCAGGCUCUGGCUGACCAGGGCAAGCGUGGGGUGAGAAAGAGCAGCCGCAUCUGGAUGUGCAGGCCAGUGAUGCCCAGCAAGGCUGCAUUCCUCAAACCCCAGGGACAGGGAGCCAUGGACUUCACCUGGUGACCUUCAGAUUCUGCCCUGAGCUUAACACGGUACAGGGGGAGGGCAGAUACCAUCUUCAUUUUACUUCUGGCCUCCUCAGUCACUGGGAAUGGUGAUGCCAGGACUUGACUGUAAUUGGAGAUAGGCCCUUUGAAGAGGUACUUAAGUUAAAAUGAAGCUGGUAGGGUGGACCCUGAUCCAAACUGAUGGGCGCUCUUAGAAAAAGAGGAAAUUUGGACAAAGAAGAAACACGAGGAGGUCUUGUUCAUAGAGGGACAACCACGUGAAAAGACAGCGAGAGGGCGGCCAUCUGCAAGCCAAGGCGAGAGGCCUCGGCAGAAACCAGUCCUACUGGCACUUGAUUGGGACUUUGAGCCUCUAGAACUGUGAGACAUAAAUUUCUGUUGUUUAAGCCACCCAAUUCAUGGCAUUUUGUUUUGGCCAUCCUAGCAAACUAAUACAACCAGCCUCUCUCAUCUCACACACAAUUUAAUAAAACUGGAGUCAUUCUGCAUUGCAGUUCUGUAUCAUGCUUUAUUCACUUCAUCUUUGCAUUGUGAGCCCUUUCCUGUGUUCACGGUUCCCUGCUGACCAGGAGGAUAAGGUUUGAAUGCCACAGCCCAGCACUCGUGAUCAUCCAUGGACAGCCCUUCUUCUACCCAGCCAUGCU